Molecule: non-coding RNA, 313 nt
Organism: Lupinus albus (white lupine)
Lineage: Eukaryota; Viridiplantae; Streptophyta; Magnoliopsida; Fabales; Fabaceae
Source: the annotation of a GenBank genome assembly
UAUAUAUAUAUCCGGCAGAGAUGCACCUGCAUCAUUCUUUUUACAUAUGAGAAGGCUUGUUCAACUAGAAUAAUUAAGUUUAACUCCACACCUCACAAACUACUUUAAGAGAGAGGUGAUUAUCCCAAUGAUUACAAGACACAUUGGGAUCAACCUGUGAAAACAUAACAUACAUGAGGCAUCGAAGACAACACAGGAGAAUCAUGGCUCUUGUCUCUUCUUCAUCAAUGAGCCCUCAUCCCAUGAACAAGUAGAUGCUAAUAAACAGUUUGCAUCCCUUGGUAAGGACAAGUUCUUCUUUAUCCAAUUGAGU